This 253-nucleotide ribosomal RNA is filed under the name uncultured bacterium. Its description in RNAcentral is "partial 16S ribosomal RNA". It matches the Rfam family "Bacterial small subunit ribosomal RNA", at positions 524 to 776 of the family's 1533-position model. The record is from RNAcentral.
UACGUAGGUGACAAGCGUUGUCCGGAAUUACUGGGCGUAAAGCGUGCGCAGGCGGUUUUGCAAGCCGGAUGUGAAAUCCCCGGGCUCAACCUGGGAAUGGCAUUUGGGACUGCAAGGCUCGAGUGCGGCAGAGGAGACUGGAAUUCCUGGUGUAGCAGUGAAAUGCGUAGAUAUCAGGAGGAAUACCGAUGGCGAAGGCAGGUCUCUGGGCUGACACUGACGCUCAUGCACGAAAGCGUGGGGAGCAAACAGG